This 66-nucleotide transfer RNA is filed under the name Ctenophora environmental sample. It matches the Rfam family "tRNA". From Rfam's summary of the family: Transfer RNA (tRNA) molecules are approximately 80 nucleotides in length. Lineage: Eukaryota; Metazoa; Ctenophora. The record is from RNAcentral.
UCUGUAGCUCAAUGGAUAGAGCUUCUGAUUACGGAUCAGAGGGCUGGAGGUUCGAGUCCUCCCAGA